AGAAACUCUGCAGAAGGUAGAUAUGGAGUACUGGCCUACAGGGAAGUUUCUUCUUCAACUUUAACUAGAGACUAGCUCAAACCCUGAAGCAUAAAGGUUUAUAUCCUGAGCCUAAGCAAUGGAGAGAAAGAGGUGCUGGUCCCUGUAUGAGGAAGAUUCUUCCCAGAUGACAGAUUUCUGUAAAAGCCUGUUCCCUGCCAGGAGGAUUGCUUCUCCUCCCAGCCAGGUUCAAAUUAGCUGCUGACACUUAUUGACAAGAAGAAACACAUCCUUCCACUGGGAUAAAACAUAUUUUUAUUGAAGAAAGAAGAGACACAGGAUUGGGUUCCUAUUGUCUUCUCCAUGAGCAAGAAGAAAGGAAGACAUUUGGCCCCUUAAAUGACAGCAUGCCAAGCCUUAAUCCCAAAGAGAAGGUGCCCCAUGGAGAGCACAAGGUGAAGGGAUCUCAGCCAAAGAAUGAAGUCCUGAGCUUUGAUUUCAGUGGCUUCCAUGGUCUGCUCCCCAGAAUUUGCAAAUCCUGACAACCCCCAGCCUGCACCCAG
This 542-nucleotide long non-coding RNA is filed under the name Anas platyrhynchos platyrhynchos (common mallard). RNAcentral describes it as "lncRNA (ENSAPLG00000019824.1)". Lineage: Eukaryota; Metazoa; Chordata; Aves; Anseriformes; Anatidae. The record is from RNAcentral.